UACCAAGUUCAGAUUAACAUGCUAACAUCAUGCUAAGACUUUCUAGGAACUUUGCAAAAUACCCCUGGAGCAGUGAGAGAAAAAGGAACAGCGUUUCACAGGAGAGAAGUAGCCACUAACAACCUGGUUUCCACAAGUAAAGUGAAGCAGAAAAUUGAUGCAAUCUGUCUGGGUCAUUCAAGCAAAAUCUUGCUGUGAUCUGGUUGAUUUAGGCUAAAAUAAAAAAAUCAGGUUUAUGGCUUGGAA
This is a long non-coding RNA of Marmota flaviventris (yellow-bellied marmot), 246 nucleotides long. RefSeq lists it as uncharacterized. The record is from RefSeq and is a predicted model, not a curated record. NCBI's taxonomy places the organism in Eukaryota, Metazoa, Chordata, Mammalia, Rodentia, Sciuridae.